Long non-coding RNA from Panthera uncia (snow leopard), 1995 nucleotides. RefSeq lists it as uncharacterized. The transcript is spliced from 3 exons. The record is from RefSeq and is a predicted model, not a curated record. NCBI's taxonomy places the organism in Eukaryota, Metazoa, Chordata, Mammalia, Carnivora, Felidae.
GCCAGCUGAAGGGGAGGCUCAUGUCUAGGGCAUGGAGGGAGAGCCAAGGGGCCUGGUAUGGAAGCUCAGGAGACGCGUGGCCCAGAUGAGACUUCCCAGCUGCCCCGGGGCCCGACUCACCUGCUGGAGCAUGAGCGCUUGUUGCUGCUGGAGCAAGGCCUGCAGCUGUGGGGGUGACAGGAUCUGCUGCAUCUGUUGGGGGAUGAGGAAACUGAGGCCUAGCGGAGUCAAAUCACCUGCCCUUUCCUCAAAGGCACAAUGGGAGAAGGGGUAAGUGAAAGUGAUUUGUAGGCCAUCAAAUUCCAUACAAAUGCAGGGAAAACUACUUUUAAAAACAUUCUGGGUUUUCCUCUUCUCUUUUCUCUUCUCCCCCUUUCCCUCUCUCUUCACCAUGACUGCCCCUUAGGCCCGCCUGGAGCCCCAGAGGGUACUGCAUGGCGAGGGUCCCCAAGGACCAGAGUUUGGGGCCUGUCAUUCCCAGGGAGGACUCAAUUUAGAGCUGGACAUGGCCCAGGCAGGGAGGCAGACCAGACACCAGGGGAUCUUUCCAGCCACUAGGGUUGUGAGUCACCGUGAGUGGCAUGCAAGAAAGGAUGUGGCAUUUCCUUCCUUGGGGCUUUCCUACUUGGACGCAGGGGAAUGGAAGAGAUGACCUUGGAAGGCCUCCCUGGCCUCUGCCAUUCCUGCCAAGUGGCCGAAUAGCUGGCCGGAGAGGCGGCUGCAGAGAUGUGGACGGAUCACCUUGUGUGUACUUGUCCAGUGGGGCCAAGGGGGUCAAGAAAGGUCAGCGAAGUGGCUGCCGCAUGCUGAGCUUCUGAACUGCCUGACCCCAUCCGCCUCCUCCCGUGCCCCUUAGGGUCCUGAGAACUGAGUUAGAGCUCCCCUGGUGUCCCCGCUGACCCCUCACCAGGCUAGGAUGUGUCAGGAUAGGCACUGUCAGCCUGUCAGCUCAGCAAGGCCCGUGAGUCACUAUCUGGAGAGUGGCCAGGACAGCUAAAUGCUUACUAAAGCCCUGGCAGUGCGAGCCCUGGGUAAAUGCCGACAGCUGCCUCCAGCCCUUCCCUCAGGGACCCUGCCCAGGCCCCUGAGUCCUCCACCCACCAUGACUACAGUGUGCUGGGCUGGGUGGCCUGACAUAGAGGCAGCUUAUCUGGGACCUGAGGGUUGGGAGGCUGUGCACCCCAUGGAUGCGAUUUGGUGCCAGAAUCAAGGACCCAAAUUCAACCUCUUAAGUGGGGUCUAAGGUCCUUGGCUCGGUGGAGACACCAGGCCAGACAGGCCAGACGGGCCAGAGCUUGGUCUAGGUUAAACUCCCUUGCAAAUGACCAGAAGGAAGUCCGCAGGCUAGCUCUGGGCUGGAGCUGCAGCAAGGAAGAAGUAAAGAAGUGGUGGGGCGCCAAGAUGAACUUCCAGAAAUUCUAGAGAAGAUGAUACAGAGGCUGGACAGAGCUAAGGGGCCUGGCCCUAGCCUACCAUCAUCCCCUCCACCCCCCAAAACUCCCAGCUACCUUUGCUACCUUCUAUAAUUGACCCCUCCCUGCCUGGGGGCCCAGACUGGGGCACAAACUAGGCCAUCUCCAGGCUAGGGGUGGAGACUCCAAUGGUGCUAGAAACUUCUGAAGCUGGCUGCAGGAGAGGGGUCCUGAACAUGGUGGGGAGGUGAGUGGGCAGCCAAUCCUGUCUUGAGAUGGGGAACAGAGCAGUGUCAUGUGGGGGCCACUGUUAAAGGGCCGCCACCUAUCUCCUUCUUUUAACCAUUUCACUCACAGAAAAGCUAUUUCUAGGCCCUGCGACCCAAUCAGACCCAUUUCCUUAGAGAUGAUGAACCUAAGGGUAGAGAGAAGAGGCAAGGAAGGUAUCCAGGGUUGGGGGAGAAGGAGGAUCAAAGUCAGAGCUCCAGGCUCCUGGAGAAGUACAGACGUGGCCCCAUGAACCCCAUCUCCCUGAGCCCAGAGAAUCAUCCCUGGGGACUACUGGUGUUCACUACUGUGCAAA